CCUACGGGAGGCAGCAGUGGGGAAUAUUGGACAAUGGGCGAAAGCCUGAUCCAGCCAUGCCGCGUGUGUGAAGAAGGUCUUCGGAUUGUAAAGCACUUUAAGUUGGGAGGAAGGGUUGUAGAUUAAUACUCUGCAAUUUUGACGUUACCGACAGAAUAAGCACCGGCUAACUCUGUGCCAGCAGCCGCGGUAAUACAGAGGGUGCAAGCGUUAAUCGGAAUUACUGGGCGUAAAGCGCGCGUAGGUGGUUUGUUAAGUUGGAUGUGAAAUCCCCGGGCUCAACCUGGGAACUGCAUUCAAAACUGACUGACUAGAGUAUGGUAGAGGGUGGUGGAAUUUCCUGUGUAGCGGUGAAAUGCGUAGAUAUAGGAAGGAACACCAGUGGCGAAGGCGACCACCUGGACUAAUACUGACACUGAGGUGCGAAAGCGUGGGGAGCAAACAGGAUUAGAUACCCUAGUAGUC
Molecule: ribosomal RNA, 465 nt
Filed under: uncultured Pseudomonas sp.
Lineage: Bacteria; Pseudomonadati; Pseudomonadota; Gammaproteobacteria; Pseudomonadales; Pseudomonadaceae
Description: bacterial SSU rRNA
Rfam family: Bacterial small subunit ribosomal RNA
Source: RNAcentral